Non-coding RNA from Callithrix jacchus (white-tufted-ear marmoset), 302 nucleotides. NCBI's taxonomy places the organism in Eukaryota, Metazoa, Chordata, Mammalia, Primates, Cebidae. The record is from RefSeq and is a predicted model, not a curated record.
AGGUAAGAUUGGUCCGUAAGCUUCAGAAGCCAGUGAUCCUGACUGCCAAGUGAUUUGCCAAAGGAAGUUAUGGAAAGGAUUAUGCUUUUUGGAGGAAACUUAGAUAAAACAUAACAGUUACUACUUUUGUAAAAAAAAAAUAAGCUGGCAAUUUAGGGACAUGGAUGAAUCUGGAGAACGUCAUCCUCAGCAAACUGACACAAGAACAGAAAAUGAAACACCGCAUAUUCUCACUCAUAGGCGGGUGAUGAAAAAUGAGAACACAUGGACACAGAAAGGGGAGUACUAAACACUGGGGUCUA